RNAcentral lists this ribosomal RNA (269 nucleotides) under uncultured bacterium. RNAcentral's name for it is "partial 16S ribosomal RNA". It matches the Rfam family "Bacterial small subunit ribosomal RNA", at positions 85 to 354 of the family's 1533-position model. The record is from RNAcentral.
UGUAAUCUUAGUGGCGGACGGGUGAGUAACGCGUGGGUAACCUGCCUUACACUGGGGGAUAACACUUAGAAAUAGGUGCUAAUACCGCAUAAGCGCACGAAGCCGCAUGGAUUUGUGUGAAAAACUCCGGUGGUGUAAGAUGGACCCGCGUCUGAUUAGCUUGUUGGCGGGGUAACGGCCCACCAAGGCGACGAUCAGUAGCCGGCCUGAGAGGGUGGACGGCCACAUUGGGACUGAGACACGGCCCAAACUCCUACGGAAGGCAGCAG